AACAAUAGUCAUUGGACAAAGUGAAUGGGUCACAUGGGCUUGUCUAAGUUCCGACCCAGGAAAGUCCCCGGGCCACUUUUCGCAGAGAUGCGGCCUCGGUAACGAGAGAAUCAUGCGGUGGAGAGAUUCUAUAAGCUGAGACGCGUGUGUGGAGCUUCUGUUGUCUCUCCGUCGAUGACAUCAUGGCCGUUCGAUUCACGACAGUUAUUCACUUGGUCCUCAUCGGACUAACUGAACGGGGCUUAUGUUCCAAUGACAACAAUUUUUUUCUUUUUGAGUAAUCCCGGUUUACUCAACUUACUCAACCGUACCGGUGGAAGAUUCCUUACAGUAAUACUAAAGCUUUUGGCUUAGCUCAUUUUGG
Molecule: RNA transcript, 364 nt
Organism: Arabidopsis thaliana (thale cress)
Lineage: Eukaryota; Viridiplantae; Streptophyta; Magnoliopsida; Brassicales; Brassicaceae
Exons: 1
Source: RefSeq